UGAGGAAUAUUGGUCAAUGGGCGGGAGCCUGAACCAGCCAAGCCGCGUGGAGGAAGAAGGUACAGAGUAUCGUAAACUCCUUUUGUCAGGGAUGAAAUGAACGCCCACGAGUGGCGUUCUGAAGGUACCUGAAGAAAAAGCAUCGGCUAACUCCGUGCCAGCAGCCGCGGUAAUACGGAGGAUGCGAGCGUUAUCCGGAUUUAUUGGGUUUAAAGGGUGCGUAGGCGGUCUUUUAAGUCAGCGGUGAAAGCCCGGGGCUCAACCCCGGCGAGCCGUUGAUACUGGGAGACUGGAGAGGAAGAGAGGCAUGCGGAAUUCGCGGUGUAGCGGUGGAAUGCUUAGAUAUCGCGAAGAACUCCGAUUGCGAAGGCAGCAUGCUGGCUUCCGUCUGACGCUGAGGCACGAAAGCGUGGGGAUCGAACAGGAUUAGAUACC
This 435-nucleotide ribosomal RNA is filed under the name uncultured bacterium. Its description in RNAcentral is "bacterial SSU rRNA". It matches the Rfam family "Bacterial small subunit ribosomal RNA", at positions 355 to 786 of the family's 1533-position model. The record is from RNAcentral.